GCAUAUCAAUAAGCGGAGGAAAAGAAACUAACAAGGAUUCCCCUAGUAACGGCGAGUGAAGCGGGAAAAGCUCAAAUUUGUAAUCUGGCGCCUUCGGUGUCCGAGUUGUAAUCUCGAGAAGUAUUUUCCGCGCUGGACCGCACAUAAGUCUGUUGGAAUACAGCGUCAUAGUGGUGAGAACCCCGUAUAUGGUGCGGAUGCCCAGUGCUUUGUGAUAUACUUUCGAAGAGUCGAGUUGUUUGGGAAUGCAGCUCAAAUUGGGUGGUAAAUUCCAUCUAAAGCUAAAUAUUGGCGAGAGACCGAUAGCGAACAAGUACCGUGAGGGAAAGAUGAAAAGCACUUUGGAAAGAGAGUUAACAGUACGUGAAAUUGUUGGAAGGGAAACGCUUGAAGUCAGACUUGCAUUUUGGAGUUCAGCCGCAAGGUGUAUUCUUCAAAUCGCAGGCCAGCAUCAGUUUUUGGGGGUGGAAAAUCGCGGUUUGAAGGUAGCAGUCUCGGCUGUGUUAUAGCUUUCCGCUGGAUUCACUUUUGGGGACUGAGGAACGCAGUACGCUUUUUGCAAGACUCUAGAGUCUUCCGUACUUAGGAUGCUGGUGGAAUGGCUUUAAACCACCCGUCUUGAAACACGGACCAAGGAGUCUAACAUGU
This 648-nucleotide ribosomal RNA is filed under the name Microbotryum scabiosae. RNAcentral describes it as "LSU rRNA". It matches the Rfam family "Eukaryotic large subunit ribosomal RNA", at positions 38 to 683 of the family's 3401-position model. The record is from RNAcentral. Lineage: Eukaryota; Fungi; Basidiomycota; Microbotryomycetes; Microbotryales; Microbotryaceae.